Molecule: long non-coding RNA, 1235 nt
Organism: Oncorhynchus tshawytscha (Chinook salmon)
Lineage: Eukaryota; Metazoa; Chordata; Actinopteri; Salmoniformes; Salmonidae
Source: Ensembl
GGAGGGUAGAUCCUAUAAAAACCUACAGGAAUGUAGGAACAGGGUUACAGAGCCCUGAUCCAGAAUGUCAGGAUUCGGGUACGUUUCUGCUUGGUUAGAACUAAAGCCAGCACCCACACACUAACCCUGGAAUGAUAAGAGAGGGUAGCAUUAUAUUUCUAUGAGACCAAUUGGAGAGGGUAGCUAGAGACAGCUGGGCCAGUUCAAGCCCUCUACAGCUGGAGAGGGUAGCUAGAGACAGCUGGCCCAGUUCAAGGCCUCUACAGCUGGAGAGGGUAGCUAGAGGCAGCUGGCCCAGUUCAAGGCCUCUACAGCUGGGCCAGUUCAAGCCCUCUACAGCUGGGCCAGUUCAAGGCCUCUACAGCUGGCCCAGUUCAAGCCCUCUACAGCUGGAGAGGGUAGCUAGAGGCAGCUGGCCCAGUUCAAGGCCUCUACAGCUGGGCCAGUUCAAGCCCUCUACAGCUGGGCCAGUUCAAGGCCUCUACAGCUGGCCCAGUUCAAGCCCUCUACAGCUGGAGAGGGUAGCUAGAGGCAGCUGGCCCAGUUCAAGGCCUCUACAGCUGGAGAGGGUAGCUAGAGACAGCUGGCCCAGUUCAAGCCCUCUAUAGCUGGAGAGGGUAGCUAGAGACAGCUGGGCCAGUUCAAGCCCUCUACAGCUGGAGAGGGUAGCUAGAGGCAGCUGGCCCAGUUCAAGGCCUCUACAGCUGGAGAGGGUAGCUAGAGACAGCUGGCCCAGUUCAAGCCCUCUACAGCCGAAGAGGUUUAUACCCUUACACCAUGUUAUUACAAGUGAUCCCAUGACCACCCAGAACACCUACCUUACUGUUUAGUUAUUUUGUCUGAUUGUGGGCGUUACUGACUGGGCCUGGGCCCGUAUUCAUGAAGCUUCUCAGUGUAGGGCUCUGGGCUGAUCUAGGAUCAGGUCUUCAAUAUCCACAGCUCUGGGCUGAUCUAGGAUCAGGGUUUCAUUAUCCACAGCUCUAUGCUGAUCUAGGAUCAGGGUUUCAUUAUCCACAGCUCUAUGCUGAUCUAGGAUCAGGGUUUCAUUAUCCACAGCUCUAUGCUGAUCUAGGAUGUGGUGUUAAAUACUUAAGUAGAACUUUAAAGUUUUUUUUACUUAAGUUGUUUUUUGGGGUAUCUGUACGUUAUAUUUAUGACAACUUUUACUUCACUAUAUUCCUAAAUAAAAUGAUGUACUUUUUACUCCAUACAUUUUUCCUGAAACCCAAAAGUAC